Molecule: long non-coding RNA, 24181 nt
Filed under: Lactuca sativa (garden lettuce)
Lineage: Eukaryota; Viridiplantae; Streptophyta; Magnoliopsida; Asterales; Asteraceae
Description: long non-coding RNA (LSAT_LNC000402)
Source: RNAcentral
CGGAAAAACGUGACUUAAAAGACAUUAACUUAACUUGAACUGAAGUCAAACUUAAUAGGAUGGGUGAAGAUUUUCAAUUUUUUUUAAUUUAAAUGGGUCAAUUUAUUUAACCCAUUUGGUGAAAACGUAUUGAAGGAUGUUAAAAUGUUCAAUUUGAUUUUAAUUUGUCAACUCGUUUGUAUUUGAUUUUAUAUUAAUUUUUUAUAUAUACUUUUUAUUCGGCUUUAUAUCCUAUUUAACUUUGUGUUAGCUCUUUGUUUUACUUGUAUUUUAAAAAUAAAAUGGGUUAAAACAUAUUUAAUUUGUUUAUUUAAGACGAAGUAAAUCCAUUUACUCAGCAUGUUUUAUUGGGUUGUGAAAUCUCAAUUCAUUAGAUUAUACAUAUUACAUAUUAGAUAUUAGAUUUGGUUGGGUUGAUACUUUAAGUCAAACUAGUUAAAUUCAAUUUUUAUACAUAGUGUGGUUUGCAGUCUAAGUUGUGGUUCUAUUUCUAUGUGGUUCGGUAUGGUUUCUAAGACCCCAAAACCAAUUGAUUGUAGUUAUAUAUAUUUGGGCUUAUACUAAAUCAAACACAAAUAUAAAGAGGCUUUGUUGUGAGUUAGUGACUAAAAUGUUAGAAAAUAUUGAAACUCCAUUUUCAAAACGAGUUAAGAUAAUAUUUUUGUACCCAAAUAUACACUUCGUAAUUCAUGAAAUUAAUUCUUGAUAAAUUUUCUGAAUAUAUCAAAAUAAUAGCCACAGUCAUAGUGUUAUUAUUACCAUUAAUGGUUUUUUCAUGACAAGCUUAAGAUUUUAAAAGCAUAUAAUAGUAUUAUUUACAUAUUAAAAAAAACAUAUGGAUCAGUCUUUGGUAUGUAGUUUUUACGAAUGGUAUGAUACCAUUUUUUCGUGCGGUAUAUAAUGCAAAACCGUAUCACACCAUAAAUACCAGAUUUUACGAAAUAAGAAAACACAACUUUCCUUAUUUGUUCAAUUUUGCCUUUUUUGUUACAACUUUUUCAAUUUUUUUUUUCAUUUUAUAGUUCGAUUUUUUCUCACCUUAAUAGUCAUUUUUUAUUAAUAUCUUAUUUUUCUUAUAUAAUAAUUGGUAUUCUAUCCUUCAUAUAUACACCCAACAAAUUUUGUUAUCGUUAAUUUUAUUAGCAACUUAAUGUAACCAAUUGUUUACUACAAAAUGUUUUAUUUACAACCAGUUUUAUUAUUUUUAAGAUUACGAAUAACUAAACAAUAUAUUUUUUUUUAAAACAAACUAGGAUUUUAUUAAUUUUAGUAUAUGAUUAUAUAAAAAAUAUAAAAGAUAAUAAACUUAGGGUUCAUAUAUGUUUUUUUGACAUAGUAUUAUUAUAAGUUUAUCAAAUUAUUAAAAUUUUUAUUUUAAUUCUUACAGAAUACAACUCAAUAAAAAUACGGAUAACAUUCUGACAGAAUGAGAAUAAUUAAGAAAAGUGUAUAAUAAUCUUAUAGACGAUUUAAUUAGUGAAAAUGCUUAAUAAUUAAAAUAAUUAUAUAAGAUUGAACGUAUUCAUAUUAUCAAACACCAUAUUUUCUUUGUAAUUAUCACAGAAUAACAUUAUCCACACGUCCACACAAUAGAUGUCAGUCCACAUUUGAACCUCUCUCUCUGUAUAUAUAUAAUAUAAUCAUUAUUGUGUUUUUUAAUAAAUAAAAAUAAGNUAUAUAUAAAUAUAUGACAAUUUUGUAAAAUAAAAAGAAUAAAAAGUUUGACAAAAUUUAUAACAAAAUUUAAAACUUGAGACCAAAAUAUAAAUAUGCAAAUGACUAACAUUUCAAACACAUAAACCCUUACUAAAGACGGUUUAAAAAGUUUGUUUCAUAAAGUAGUAAUGAUCCUCACACAAAAGACUAUCUCCUUGCAUAAAUUGAUACAAACUAAAACAAAGAUGUCCAAAUAUGCAUUCUAAGUUCUAACCAUAUUUUUUUUUCAAUUUAGUAAGAUAGUUAAACAUAAAUACAUAAAAAAAAUAUAAAAUAUCUAACAAUUUAAUUACUUGAUGCAAAACAGAUACACAAGCACAACAGAUCGGAGUAUGCAACGGCCGGCUAGGCAAAAAUCUUCCAUCGGAAGAAGAGACAGUAAACUUUUACCAGAGGAACGGCAUAACCAGGAUGCGAAUCUACGAUCCAAAUCCAGUCACUCUCCGAGCCCUCCAGAGAACCAACAUCGAACUCAUACUUGACGUUCCAAAUAUUGAACUUGAGUCCCUCACAAAUCCAUCCAAUGCAAGAACUUGGGUUCAAAACCACAUUCAAAACUACCCCGAAGUCAAAUUCCGGUACAUCGCCGUCGGAAACGAAGUCGACCCAAACAGUGAUAACACUGUUAACCGACAAUAUGUCACCUUCGUACUUCCGGCGAUGCAAAAUGUUCACCGAGCUAUUGUAGACGCGGGAUUAGAUAAACAAAUCAAGGUCUCAACAGCAACCUACGCAGGUCUGUUAGAGAACGCAUAUCCUCCAAGCGAAGGCGUGUUUUAUAAAAACGUGACUAAUACAUUUAUCGGGCCGAUUAUUACGUUUCUAGCUCAAAACAAUUUGCCAAUGCUUGCCAAUAUCUACCCCUAUUUUGCUUGUCAGCGUAGCGCUGAUGUAAAUCUCCAGUAUUCAUUGUUUACAUCGGGUCCAUUAGUGCCAGAUAAGGAUUUAAUGUAUUCUAACCUUUUUGACGCCAUGUAUGAUGCUCAUUAUGCGGCUCAAGCACGUCUUGGUGGAGAGAAUGUGGAGAUUGUUGUGUCGGAGAGUGGAUGGCCGUCGUAUGGUCAUCGUGUAGCGACACCGGAAAACGCCAGAACUUAUUAUCGGAAUUUGAUUGCACAUGUGAAACAGAGGAACGGGACACCGGCGAGGCCUAGAAGAUUUAUAGAGGUGUAUUUGUUUGCCAUGUUUGAUGAGAAUUUGAAAACUGGAGAUGUCGUAGAGAGGAAUUUCGGGCUUUUCUAUCCCGAUCAACGAUCCAAGUAUCAACUUGGCUUCUGAUUACCAAAUCCAUUAUAUAGUCUAAUUAAUGGGUUUUCUGUAAUAUUUAAUGAAUAAAUCAUGUAAUAAAAAACUCUUAUUGCUUGGAUAUUUCAAUUUUACAAUACAUAUGUUAUUAUACUUUGGACAUCUCAAAUUUAUAUAACUUUUGAUAUAAACAAUGAUGUAAAUCAAUUCCACAUCAACAUUAUAUUUUUACGUAGAAAUGGUGUUAUGAAUAAUGUCACAUUAAAUUUGGUGACUUUUUUAGUAAUUAAGGGGGUGUUUUGAUAGGGAAAAAAUAUGGUGUUUAUUGCUUAUUGCUUAAUCUCAUCGCAAUAAACAAAUUUAAGUAUUUUGAUAGAAGUUUUUAAAAAUCAGCUUAUUGCAGUAGGAAUAAGUUAAAUAAACUGAUUUUAAUAAGCAAUGGGGGAGUGUUUAUAUUAUUGUUUAUUGGUUAUUUUACUCAUAUAAGUUGUUUUGUUUGCCAAACACUUAAAAAUUUUAUUGUUUAUUGCAUAUUUCCACCGCAAUAAACUAAUCCAAACACAUUUUUAAAAAAUGUUUAUUCCCACCGCAAUAAGCAAAUAAGCAAUAAGCUAAUAAACUAAAAACUAUUCAUCCAAACACCCCCUUAACCAAAUUUAAUAUUGAUGUUUCAUCGUUUUAAAAUCGAUCAUUCAAGUUUAAGUAUAUAACCCUAAAGUUUCAUGCAGCAACUUCAUUUGCUUUUGUCAAUUGAAGCUACCAGCAACUUCAUUGGCAUUUUUGCGUUUCAUUCUCGUAUAUAUGAUCAUUAUAAAAGACAUAUUCAAGAGCAUAGUAUCAGUAUAACUCAACUCAAAUAUAUGGAUUAUAAAGCUGUUGGAGAUGAUAAUCCACUUCAAAACUACCUUAUAGAAGAUAUUGUAUAUUUUCAUUGUUAGUUUGUAAUAUUCAUAUAAAUAUUUCAUAUAUUAAUGUUAUUAUAUUUAUAGGUUUAUGAGUAAUUGAAUGUGCAUACAUGCACCUACCUGUAUGAAUAUCCUUUGUGAAAUUAUAUUUUUUUGUAUGGAUGUACAUAGUAACACACAACCACAUAAAAUCCAUAGUUUUUUAUGUCCUUGAUUGUGUAUGUGAUGUAAUAUAUCAGAGUAAAUUACACGAAUGGUCCCUAUGGUUUGGGUUAAUUUGUAUGUUUGGUCCCUAACUUAUUUUUUUUUAACUCGGAAAGUCCCUACUGUUUGUUUUUGUUACGCAUUUGGUCCCUAUCUUACCUAAAAAGACUAUUAUUUAGAUAGGGAAAAGUGGUGGGGUAGGUAAGGUAAGGUGAGGGGGUGGGGUGGGGUGGAGUUGGGGUUGUGUUUAUUUAAAUAAAUUAAAAAAUCAAGGGCAAAAUAGUUUUUUAGGUAAGACAGGGACCAAACGCAUAACAAAAACAAACAAUAGGGACUUUCCGAGUUAAAAAAAAAUAAAUUAGGGACCAAACACAUAAAUUACCCUAAACCAUAGGGACCAUUCUUGUAAUUACUCAAUAUAUUAACAAAGUUCAUAAUCACUUGAUUGUUUACUCAGAAAGAUAAUGUCAAAGAGAAAUAACCAUCACGAUUGGCAAUUGGUUGAGAAGGUACCAAACAGGUAAUUUUUGUAAGACCAAUAUCUCAGCAAAAGGAAAAACAUGAUGCGAGAAAUUUUCUUUAAAAAAAAAACCAAAAGGCUUAUAGUCUAACGAUAUUAAAAGUUACCUGAAAUGUGUCCUAUCACCCAAGGGUAGAGGGAUCGAGUCUUACAUGAGACAAAAGAUAUAGAUUUAAAGAAUAAAAGAUAUGUUUUAUUAGCCGUUUAAAAAAUAAUUACAAAAGCAAGAGUUAGCAAAUGGGGUGGGUGAGGUUAUGGAUGGUUCUUGCAAUGAAUUUCAAACUUAAGAACCAUCUUUGCAAUAAAUUCUUUAUAUGCUAAUUAAUAAUAAUAAUAAUAAUAAUAAUAAUAAUAAUAAUAAUAAUAAUAAUUAACCAAAGACAUAGUUACAUUUUUAACAAUUUGGUGUAAGUGACUACUUUGUAUUUUUAUAAUUAGAUUAGAUGAGACAUAUUUGAAAGAAAAAAAAGAUCGAACGCUUAUAUAUUGUCCCUUUUUAUUAAUUCUUCUACUAAUGAUUUUUUUGAACAUGAUCAUGAUUCAUGAGUGAUGGCAUGUUCGGAUUUUUGUUCAUUGAUGAUACGGUGUAUAUAUAGAUUUUCGGAAGGAGUUUCAUUGAUACGCAUCUCCGAUAUCGUCCCUCCGACGUAACUCUCUGCAUUCAGGUUAAGAAUGUGCAGUUUCCGAUUCCGAUCAUCUCUCGUAUUUUCUAUCUAAAAUCCCCUUGUCCGAGAAAUCGAUGCCAUCCCUAAAAGUAAGAAUUUCACCCCUUUAUUCGUCCUUCACGUCAUAUGGGUUUUCAUUCAUUUGUGUUUGGGUAUUUGAUUAACAUCAAUGUGCAUUCUUCUAAAGAUAUAAUUCUGAAUUUCGUAACCGUUUCAGGUUUCUGAUUCAAUGGCAUAGUUUUGAUGUAAUUUGAAUUUUGAAAUGCUUUAAUAUGUUCUCUUUCGUUUUGCUAGACAAGUAAAAGCUGGAUUUGGGGAUUCCAUCUGUGUUGUGGUUUAGAGAUUGUUGUAAAUGGAGAAAGACGAAUCUCAAAACCUUAGCAGGAGUCUCUUGCCACCUUCCGGUAGAACUCCAUGUUUUCCAGUAGCCGACGGAAACAAAGAAAAUUUGAAAACAGAGCAGUCAGGAUCAGCUAUGUUCAUCACAAAUGGGCCUGUAAUCGCCAUUGAAUUUGGUGAUUUCAGUCAUGAUAUAAGCAGAAUGCCUGAUUCCCCACCCAAGAACAUGGGCCACCGGCGAGUGCGUUCUGAAAUUGUUACUCUACUCGAUGAUAUCACCUUCGGUAGCGAUCUUGGUGUUGUAGGUAGCUUCGAUGGUCCUUCAUACUCCGAGAAUGAAGAAGAUUCAUAUUCUAUGUACCUUGACACCGAUAAGUAUAAUUCUUCAUCGGCAACAUCUGGUUCUCACCUCCCCGACUCAUCUAACGCCGCCCAAAUUUCAAACUCAUCAACAGCACCACCGCCGGAAAACCAUGUCUCUAGCUCCGACGACAGCUGUAGAUUUAAACAUACACAUAGUUUCUCCAUGGAUGGUCUUUCCUCAGGUCCAGAAGAGACAUCUUCAAUCGAUGCUAAGAAAACAAUGUCUGCUGCUAAGCUUGCUGAACUUGCUCUUGCUGAUCCAAAACGUGCAAAAAGGUGCAAAAUGCACCCUUUACUUAUUCUAACUAAAAAAAGUGAAAAGACAAAACUACCCUUAUAACUUGGUUUUCUUUUUUCCCUUUUAUUAGAAUAUGGGCAAAUAGGCAGUCUGCUGUACGAUCAAAGGAAAGAAAGAUGAGAUACAUAACUGAGCUCGAAAGUCAAGUCCAAACACUCCAAACACAAGCAACCUCACUAUCUGCCCAAUUAACCAUUUUACAGGUUUGUGGAGGGCAUUUACGUCUUUUUCAUAAUCCAUAUAUUAGAGAUCAAUAACUAGUCCCAUGUUCUACUUUUUGGAUUAAACAAAAAGUUACAGUUUUUGUCGUAUGACUAAACAAUUCAAUACAUCUCAAACACAAUAUAAGACUGUCAAACACAGCACAAGACUGUUAUAUUCUGUAUUAUUAAUUUUGGUUGUACCGUUGUUAGAGAGAGACACACGGUUUAUUGGCGGAAAACACCGAACUAAAAUUGCGGUUACAAGCCAUGGAGCAACAGGUUCACGUACAAGAUGGUAAGUUCUGAAGAAAAAAAAUUUGAUAAAAGAAAAAAUUACAAAUUCGGUCCCUAUACUUUACUCAAAAUCAAAAUUUUGGUCCAAUCUUUAAGUGCUUUAUGCUAAUUGUUGUUGUGUUUAGUUUUAAAUGAAGCAUUGAAGAAGGAGAUACAUCAUCUGAGAGUAGUUACAGGACAAAAUGUCAUUAAUGGUGGUCCGAUGAUGAACUUCCCACCAUCUUUCAGACCAAACCACAAGUUCCACCACCCCAACAACCACCCCAUGCACACACUCUUAACUGCACAACAGAUUCAUCAACUUCAAAUUCAGUCACGAAUGCAACAACAUCAGUUUCAACAGCAACAGUUCCACCAAUUUCCGCAGCGGCAACACCUCCACCAGUCUCAGCACCACCCAUCUCCGCCACAGCCGCCAGGACAGCGGUUGCCGGAAAAUAGUGAUUUGAAAAAUAGCAGCUCCUUGUCAACAUAGAAUCUAGGUUGGUGAAUAGGGUGGAUAUUUGGGUAAUUCUUCUUAAAUUUUAGAUGGAAAAUUGGGCAAUUUUGCAUAUAUGAUUAUAUAUGUAUGUGUAACUUAUUAUUUAAAACUCAUGAUUUUGUAUAAAAAAAGUACAACAAAAAUCAUAGAUUUGUGCCCUAAUUUCAUACAAACACGAACUUGAAUCUAUAAAGUUUAUCAAAGUACUAAAUAUCGAAUCUAGAAACAUUCGAUUAACACGUGACAAUGACAAAGGAUAAAAUCAUAAAAUCCCAUUUGUUCUCGUUUCUUGAUUUUCCACGUAAAUUUCAAGAACUGGUUUACAUUACUGAGUAGCCGGGCCCACCUCCACCUUCUGGAACUGUCCAUUCAAUGUUCUGCUUCGGAUCUUUAAUAUCACACGCCUGAAACUCAAAAAAAGAAAAUCAAUAAUCAUAUACCAAUUUUCCCAAAAAAAAAAUUAGUUAUUUAAAAAAAAAAAAAAAAAUUUGUCAAACCUUGCAGUGCAAGCAAUUCUGAGCAUUAAUCUGGAGCUUCAAUUCACCCUUGUCAUCCGCAACAUAUCUGAAUUUACACAAAAAAAAAUAUUAAAAAGAAAAAUCAAAAGUGAGAUUAUUUAUUAAUUAAAAAAUGAAUAGAAAUUUUUUUUAGUUCUUACUCAUAUACACGAGCAGGGCAAUAUCGGGAUUCCGGAGCUCCAUAUUUUGGCAAAUUUACAAUUUGAGGAAUUUGUGGGUCCCUCAACCGAAGGUGAGGUGGCUGAUCAUGAUUAUGAUUUGUAUUGCUCCUAUUAAACAAAACAAAUUUAUACAAAGAAUCGUAAUAAUAUAAAUUUUAUGUAAUUUUUUUUUUUAAGAUUAAUAUUUAAUUACCUAUAAAGAGAAGUUGGCACAUCAAAACUAACAAUCCCAUCUGGCUUUGGGUAUUCAAUCGGGGAGCUUACACUUGCUUCCUGUGUACAUAACCAUUUAUUUAUAAAUAAAUAUUAUUUUUAAACAAUUAUUUUUUCAAAUACUUAUAAAAAUCAUUUAUCCAAUUCCAAACAACACUUUAGUCUUUAGCUUACAUGUGUUGCUUCAUGAUCUGGUUUUCCAUGCUUUAAGGUAAAUGGGGCUCUUCCUUUAAGUAAAUAGCUGUAAAUGUGAAUAUAAACAAGUGAAAAUUGAAAUUUCAUCACAUGUUUCACGUGUAUAGAAAGUUUAAAAAUAAAAAUAAAAAUAAGAAGGAAAUCUUACUGUUCUAGACCACUUAUAGCCAAACCAGUAAAAAGCCCAUGCUCAAACGCCUACAUAUGUUUGCAACAUUUUUUAUUUUUAAAAUGACAAAAAAGGAACAGAAAAAUAAAUAAAAGAAAAAGAAAAUAAUAAAAUAAAUGUUUUAUUUUACUGGGCGAUAGUUGCGUGCUUGAUAAAGCUCUUCCCAUAUCCAUGAUUUUUUUAAACUUUCCCAAUAAUUUUUCAUAUUUGAUCCUUUAUUAAGUACUUCAAAGGCAGAUUCUGCUGCUAACAUUCCUAUAAUAAUAAAAUAAAUAUUUAAAAAAUAUUUCAGAAAAAGACUGCAUACUUGGAAAAACUUAAGGGAAAGACAAACAAGGGCAAAUUUGUCAAAAGUUAGGACUUAAUAAAGAAAGCGGAAAGCCUAAGUUCCCUGAUUUCUUUUUUCCCUUUGUAUGUGUUAAAUGACCAUUUUACCCUUACAUUGAGAAAUUUUUUUACCUGAUUUCAUGGCAGUAUGUGUACCCUUUAUUUUUGGAACAUUUAAAAAGCCAGCUGCACAUCCAACAACUGCUCCCCCAGGGAACACUGGAUAUGGAAUAGACUGAAAAUUAAUUAGAAUUAUCAAUUAUAUAUUAUUCGCUUUAUCAUAAUAUAAUCAUAUAAUAAUUAAAAAUAUAACAAAAUAAACAAUAUAAGUUUUAAAGUAAAAUCAUGAUAUGCACCUGAAAACCACCUUCAUUCAAAGUCCGGGCCCCAUAUUGAACAACUGUCCCAUUUUCAAGAAGAGGUCUGAUUGCAGGAUGACCUUUAAGUUUCUAUAAAAAAAAUGUGUUACAAAAAAUAAAAAAAUAAAAAAAUAAAAAAUAAGUUGUGAGUUUAAAAAAGUUACCUGGAAUUCAUCAUAAGGGCUGAAAUAAGGGUUGUGGUAAUUCAAAGCACAAACUAAUCCAAUGGAAACCUGCAUACAGAUGAAAGGAAUGGAAUUAACAAUUCCAUUCCUUUUGUCAAUUUCAUCAUAAUACCAAAUGGUGGAAAGAGAUAUUAUUAAUUAUUAUUAUUAUUAUUAUUAUUAUAUUUAUUUACUUGAUUAUCUUGCAUAUGAUAUAAAAAAGAUCCUCCAUAGGUUUUGUGAUCCAAAGGCCAACCUAAAGUAUGAACAACAGCACCAGGUUUAUGCUUUUUGGCAUCAAUUUCCCAAACCUAUUAACAUUUUUAAAAACUAAUUAAUCUUUUAAAAAAUAAAUUAAACUGAAUAAAAUUGGUAAUUAUGAGUUUAUGACUAGAAUCAUAGCUUACCUCUUUAAUUCCUAAUGCAUAAGUUUGAUGUUGCCCAUGUCCUUUCUCUCUUAAAUUGUAUUUCUUUAUUAGUUUCUGUUAAAAAAUUUCAGGUUAAAAAAAAUAAAAAAAAAAGAAGUUGGAUUUUUUAAAAUGUAGAAGUGAGGAUCAAUAUUUUUUUUUUCAAUUUAAACCUCUGAUAGUGCACCUCGACAUCCUUCAGCAAAAAGAUUAAUACGCCCUGAAAAUAAAGAAUGUUAGAAGGGUAAAAUGGUCAUUUACUCAUAUUCAUACAAAAAUGCUACCUUUUAAUUCUACACCAGGCUGAAAAGUAUCUUUUUUAGAGCCAUCUUUCCCAAUUCCCAUGUCAUUAGUUGCAAUUCCAAUAACAUUUUCAUUUUCAUCAAAUAAAAUCUGUAUGAAUAUGAAGCUUGUUAUUCCACACACACACACAAACACACGAACACACACACACACACACACACACAGCGUUACCUCUUUAGCUGCAAAACCUGGGUAUACUUCGACUCCUAAUUCUUCAGCUUUCUGUCCUAACCAACGUACAAAUUGGCUUAAACUGAAUCAAAAAAUAUCAGUUUAGUAAGAUUUAAGAAAGGUUAAAAUGGUAAUUAGUGAAAAAAGAAAGUAUUUAAUUACCUUAUAACAUAGUUUCCUUUAUUAUCGAAAGGAUUUGGCAAUGGGAUUGCAUGCUUUUCUGUAAGUAGCAUGAACUUAUCAGAAGAAACACUGACACUAAUUGGUGUCUGCAUAAGCGUUUGAAUAUAUACAAAAAUGUCCACAUAAAAGUUAUUUGUUGAAAUUAACACAAAGCACAUAUGAAAUCUUGUAAUUAUUGUAGUUAUAGAAGAAGCAAUUGAGAAAUUAAAAUGUUACCUCUUCGUCUCUCCAUUGUGGGAUGAGUUCGUUCAAUGCACGGGGUUCAAAAACAUUUCCCGAUAAUAUAUGUGCACCUGUAAACAAUUAUGAUUGUGAUUACGAUUUGAAGAAGCAAUUGUCGAUUUAAUGAUCUUUGUUCCAAGAUGAUGAUCAGAAAUUUGACAAUUCGCAUAACAAUUGAGCAUUUCAAAAGUAAACUCUGCGAUUUAAAAGAGGCAAAAGGUAAACCAAGCAUACCUACUUCUGCCCCUUUCUCCACAACGCACACAGAUAAGUCUACAUCAUUUUCACGGCAUAAUUGCUUCAAUCUUAUGGCGGCGGAUAAGCCGGCCGGACCUCCUCCGAUGAUAACCACGUCGUAAUUAAUACAAUCACGAACUGUUUCGCUACUGAAUCCCCUUCUCGAUACCGAAAACCCAAUUCUAUUUAAAUUAGACACUCUAAAUUGGGUCGAAUUUAACUGAUACCCAGAUGAAAAAGAUCGAUUGAAACCCUUGAACGAAGUUGGGGUGAUCUGAAACCAUUUUUGCCUGGGGGAAAUGUGUUUUGAUGGUGAAAAAGGUGGCGCUGAGGGAUCGUGGUAGCAAUAGUUGGUGGAAUGAAGUGAUAUCGAUAUGAUUUUUCUUGACUUUGACUUUGAGGGGGAAGAAAUGAUCUUUCUGAACAUUAUGUAGUGGAAGAAGUGUUCCAAGAUGAGAGAUUUCCUGCUCCGAGGGAGUUUUAGAGGGAAGAAAUUGCCGUUUUAUAGUCUGAAAGAACGAAAUAGUCUUCCUUUUUUCUUUGAAUAUCCGUAUGUCAAUGUUACUUGAGCCGGAAAAAGUGUUAAAACAAGAAAAAAAAAUGAUAUUUUCAUUUACUGAUCGGAUUGGAUCAGCACGUAAAUCAAACAAAGCUUUUUAAAUAUCUUACACGUUUCAUUUGUCAGGAGGAAAUCAUAUUUAAAGGGAAUAUAUAACAAAAUAGUCAUCGCAAUCGCCAACGUUUUGUAAUAUAAAGUUCCAUGAUAUCUUCAUAUUGAUUGUUGGUUCCAACAUGUUCAACUGGCUUGGAAUGAGCUUUGAGAUGCAGCUGUCCAAAAAGUUUAUGAUGGUAUUCUUAAGCUAAAGAAAGUCCUUAGUACGAAAAAUAUACCAAGGUGUUCACCAUGAGAGAGAGAGAGAGAUGAAUGGCACCGAAAAAACUUAAUUGUUCAAAUAUUCAAGUAAGAAAAUGUUGGGAUGUGAAGUCUUGAUCAAAAUUGUCGGGGAGUGAAAUCUCCAUUGAUGAGAGAGUAAGAAAGUGUUGUCGGACAUAGAAAUCACGCCACGUUGCUAGGUAUCAGAAGAAUAUACUGGAUAGUUGCAGAAUGCGCUUGACACUUGGAGAAUGUGUUUGGCACUUGGUAAAUGCAUUAGGCAUUUGAUAGGAGUGUUGGGCACUUUUAAAGGCGUUGUCUAGCUGCUAAAUGUGCUCCAACAGCCACAAAAUGCAUUGUUGGAGCUAAAAAGGUGUUGUUAGGUCUUGAGAACAUACUCUUAGAUGUAUGGCAAGUGGCUAUGUACAUCCCUCAAAAUAAGGUUAAAGAAUCUAUAAGCGGUUGAUCCCAUUUAGGGCUUAAUUAAGGGUAGACAUGACCCAUUAGAAUUAGGGCAUCCAUAUGCUUGCCUAUAAUUAGGCACUCUUAUCUUCAUCAACAUUUGUGAAGCGUAUGGCGCAUAGUGUGUGUGAAGCACGCACAAAUUUCAAGAGAGCAAUCAUUGUGAGUUUGAGAUCAUAUUUUUUUUAGAGCAGUUUGUUAGCAAGAUAGAUUCAUUUUCUUUAAGAGUUCAAGUGAGUUGCAACCCCCUAUGAGUGAUUUUAAUUGUUUUUGGAAGAUUAAUAAAAUCCUCUCUCUCUCUACAUAGAUGUAGGUUAAAUCAACCGAACCACGUUAGAUAAUAUGUUCAGUUUUACAGUUUAUCAAAAGCUUAUUCCACAUGUUUUACAUAAAUUGUUUAUCAAUUGUCACUUUAAUUUGUUUUUGUUGAAUCCCGAACAUGAUCAUAUGUACAUCUACACUAGAAUAAAUCAAAUAUAACCAAAUAGAUAGGAUAACCUCAAACUUGUCGGUUUGAACGCCCUUUUUUUCUUUUUGGUGUUCAUAGAUUGGCAAUAUUAUCAUCGAUGGUUCUUUGGUAUUUUCCUAUUUCCAUUCAAACUUUUUUUUCUUAUUUUCCUAGUUUUCUGCAUUCAAUUGCAAUCUCUAAGUUAUUCAACUUAUAAAUGCAUAAUAUUUAGAAGAAAAAAAAAGACAGAAACAAAUCAACAAACACAUCUGAAUGGCUUAUUACAAUCAACAAUUUAUAUGAACCCUCAUCAAGGGUAAGGUAGAGUUGCGAUAUGAUUAUGAGCAACCGUGCCAAUCCACAACAUCCCAUUAGCUUCCCUAACUUCACUAACCAGUUUCAUCACUACACCCUCCUUGUCUUCAAGAACAUCCAAGAUCUUCCCAUGUUCAUCAAAAAGAGAUAUCACUGAGUACAUUUUCAUUCCCAUUAUUCGAGCCAAAUAACGCAUUUGAAAUGGCAAACGAAAGUACACACUCCUCAUCCAAGGGUUAUUUGUCAAGAUUUCUUGAGCUUUUGUCCUGCAACAAUCAAUAGCUACCCAAAACUGGCCUUGAUCGUUUAUUCUUAUAUUGUCGGGGAAACCAGGUAAGUUUGCCACAAGUUCGACUUUGCCUUUCUUUUCACCCUUUAACCAUAGUUUCAUAAGCCUAAACAAAAUAAAAAUCAAAGUAUACUUGUCAUCGCAUAUACUUAAACAGUUCUUAAUAUAGUUAUAUAAGGUAUUAAUUUGAAGAAUUGAUAAGAUUCAUCUAAAAUUAGUACCGACAGUUUGUAGUCUCGGUGAACAAAAGAAAAGAUUCGUCCUUCGACAAUUGAACCCCAUUCGGGAAAGCCAAGCCAUCUAAUACAACAUGAGUUGACUUUGUUGGAGGGUCAUAUCUAAGUAGUCUUCCACUUGCCUCCCCUUCCAACAUUAUAAAGAAAUGGUUCCUAAGCAAACCCAAGUUAUCAUAAGAUCAAAAAAAAAUGUGAAUAUAUUAAUAACAUCUGACAUUUUUUACUUGAUUAAUUAGUCGAUAGAAAACGUGUCUUCCACAUGGACCAAAUGUAUAUCAAGCAUUUAGACCAAAGAAUAAACCAAAAAUCCGUAAAUGAGACCAAUGUAUAAAAAAGGUUAUAGAACUCACACUCUAUUGUACUUCUGGCUGGUGUCUGUGAAGAAGAUAGAUCCAUUACUAUGUAUAUCAAGGUCAUUUGCAAAGAGUAUCGGCUCUCCACCCAUAUGGGUGGACAAUGGUGUUGCUAAGCCACCGUCAGGACCAACCACCAUAAGCCCAUAGUACGCAUCAGCAAUGUAUAAAUUUCCGCUACUUUUAUCAAACCUCAAUCCUAGUGGUCGUCCACAUAAUGCUUCCAUUUUCCAUUGCUUGUAUGUCGUUGAGUCUUUUCCGGUCAUGCAUAACUUUUCUGACCUUUUGACGUUUCGAAUUAAGCAUGAUAUAUGCAUAUAUAUUAUAUGCAUGUAUGCAUGUAUGUAUGUGUGUGUAUGUUUCUAAUAUGCAAAUAAAAUAUUUGAUAACUUACCAAUCUCGCGAAACAAGAGCGAAUGUUACCCAUCCUCGAUCUUCGCCUGCCCACUUCACAAUCCGACCAUCAGCCAUACCAGUAUAGGGCCCAUUUCCCAAUGGAUCAAAUUCCAAGGACUCGGGUCCAAACACUUUAUCCACAUGUUCCAAGUUCCCAAGCCCUAGCCGGCUAAGAUUGUCUGCUGGCCAACUCUCCAUCACUUGGUCAUAUGGUGCAAUAUCGUUUUUCACAGGUCGGAAAUCAUGUCCACCAACUGGACUCAUGUCAAAAGGAUCCAUUAUCAGAAACCCUAAAACAAUAGCAAGAAGAAGAACCAAAUGUUGUUGCAACCGGCCAUCUACCUCUUCCAAACUCUUUUUCUUCUCCAUAAGUAAAGAAAAGCCCGACCGAAUGGAAACGGUCGGAAUGAAAGUUGUGAUAUGGGUUUGUAGUUUGUAUAUGAAUGGAUUUAUGUUGUAGGAAUUACUACAUGCACUUAUUGUGAAGUUAUAAUUGGUUGAGUUUAGGUUGCCUUUUGUUGCUCAUGAAUUGUGCAUUGGUUCUUGUUGUGUUCUUUCUCAUGUAAUGUGGUUCACCUAUGUCACUUUGCAACUUUUUCUUGAUCUUGACCAUUUCUUCGCAACUUUACUUUUUUUUUAGGUAAAUAUAUUUUAAUUAAACCAAUUCUGCAUUUCGCUUAUAUGUAAAAUAAUAACAUACGGCAUUAGUUCUCAUCCAUAACUGAUGCAUGUUCGUUACUUUAUGUGAAAUAAUAAUAUCUUUUUAGUUUUUCCAUUUCACACAUAACUUUUUGCAUCUUAAUUAGAGAUGUGUAAAACUUGGUCCACAUCGACGAAAAAAAAGGAUUAGAGCCCUAUGUCUUCACUUCAGCUCACCAUUCUCGACUUAUAAAAACUGACAAAAUGCAUAAAUGAUCUAUGUGGCUUAUCAAAUAUCACAAACUAGUCAUUGCAAAAAAUUUGACGAACAUGGUCCUUGUGGUUUCCAAAACUUGCAUAAAUGGUUCUUUUUGCUCACAUGUUACUUUUCCUCCAUUAGUGUGAGAGUAAUUUGGUUUUUUCAAGUUUAGUAGGGACUGAGUUUGUGACCAUAUGUAACCAUAGGGACUCUUUAUGUAAUUUUAUAUAUAUUUCAUGUUUAUGAAUUUGUGACUUUUCCACCCUUUUACUUUUUAAAAUGUCAUUUUGACCCCAUCACUUUGAACUUUAUAAAAUGUUACUUCACCCCUCCAUUUUCUAAAUUUUGGUAUUUAUCAUCGUAGUAUAUAUAAUCUGAUUUUCCUUAAUAACCUCCCUUCAUUAACCUAAAAAAACUAAUUUUUUCAUACACAUUUUUAUAUAUGUGUCGGUAUAAAUUCAAUAACUUCAAGGCGGUUAACAUUUCAACGUAAAUUUAGAACUUUCAUUUGUUAAUUUUUUUUUAAAAAAAACUUACGUGCUUUUUUAUGUAUGUAUCGGUUUAAAUCCAAGUUUGUCUACAUUUCUGUAACAUCUAUUUUUCAGGUAUUUGCUUUAAGACCCUUGAGUUAUCAAAUGUUUGCAAAUUGGGUCCUAAGGGCAAUUCCGUGAUAUUUUGGUGCAGCUUGAGUACGUUGAGCGUACUCAGCCUCACGCCAGUGCGUUACGCGUACUCCUGUACAUCGGGCGUACGUGGUUCAGACCAAAACUUUAAUAUGUAGGGUUUGUGCACUAUUUAAGAAUUAUUAUAGCCCCAAGACCUUUCCUUUUAUCAGCUUCCAUCCCAAGAUCGACCCUUAUUGCAAACCUUAUUUCAUUUUGAGCUUUUGGAGUGAGUUGUUUGUUUCCUUGUUUGUGAAGAAGGACCUUCAAGGAGUAGUUUUACUCUCAAGACUUUGGAUCCAACAUCUUCUCUUCAUUGUGCAUUAUUUGGAGGUAUAAAGCUCCAAACUUGGCUUAUGUUUCUUUAGAUCUUAGUUAAGCCUUGAUUUUCAUCCUUUUUGUCCCAAACCCAAGAGCUUGGAGAGUAAGAGGUACUCCAAAGCCUUUAACAUGUCCUUCCAGAUGUUCUAAGGCAUUUUAAGUAAUAAAAAUGCAAGCUUGGACCUUUAUUUGUCCCCAUGCAAGAGUUAGGGUGUAGAAAAGGUUUAAGUAAGCUAGGUUUUUAGUGUUAGGCUUCUUGUUGUAACAUCCCGAUGAUAAGGUACUUCUAAUUUUAACCUUAUAAUUGAAUCAUAUUGCAUUGUGGUCCCUAAAUAGAAGAAAGUGUGCAUUGGAAGCCCUGGUGGCAUUUUCAUAAUUUGGGAAGGUUGGGGAGUAUGCCAUGUGUAUGUGUGUACGCUUAGCGUACUAAGGCUCGCCUUAGUAGGCAGGGCAUACAUAGGUACGCAGGGCAUACGUGCCAGGCAUGCAAACCCUAAUCUUUAGGGUUUGGCUCCUAUUUAAACCCCAUUAUAGCCUCAUUUCCCCUCACCUCAUCAGCCUCCAUCCUCUUGAUACGUUUUUGCAACCCUAAUCCCCCUCGUGAAGCAUUCUAAGCUUUUGUGUGGGUUUUUUUGUAACACCCCGACUCCUAGGUAUAAAUUUUAAAGUUUUAUAUUUAUGUUUUUAGACCUACUCGACGAGUUGGAUGCCCUAACUCGUUGUGUAGAGAAGGUUAAAGUCGCGUAGAUUCUAGAAUCUAUUCGACGAAUUGGGGGACCCAACUCGAUGAGUUGGAUCUGGAAUGUGUAACCCUAAUUUCCAAGGUUUUGCACCAUAUUUAAAGGCUCAUUAGCCACCCUCUGCCUCUCUUAUCGUCCCCCUCAACCUCAGAAAAUGCUAAUCGUGUAUUACUCCUCAUUUUGUGUGUGUAAAAGCUUGGAAUGUGGUUUUAGUGGAAGAAACUUGAAGACUCAAGAGCUUUGAUCAAGGAGAAGCUUGUAGAUCCAGUACCUACUCCGUCUUGGCUUUCAUUUGAAAGUAACAAGUUGUUACCUUGAUCAUUCUAGUUCUAGAUCUCCUUAUUCAAUGGUUUAAGGCCAUUCUUAGCAUAUUUGUGGGUCAUUUAUGGUAUUGGGCAUGAUCUGAAGUUGUAACUUCAGAUCUUGACUCCUCUAAGUCCUCAUAGUCAUAAAGUUAUCGAAUUUAUCAAGCUUUGGCCCUUUUCUUUGGAUUAAACCUCUUCUUUAGCUUGGUUUUGGCAUUUUAGGCCUUGCAUGCUCGUAAAGUGUGCAACUUUACAUGGUAACCAUGCCCUAGGAGGCUAGAUCUACAAUUUGGAGCCUUGGUAUUGCUUAAGAGCGUCAGAAUAAGAAAAGGACUGAAGGGAUUCGACGAGUUGCAUGGUCAACUCGUUGAGUCGGAUGAAGAUGGCCCGUUUUUGGUUCUACAUGGACUCGGCGAGUCAGUGAGAUGACGCGAUGAGUUGGUUAGGGUUUUCCCGACAUUUUGGACACUGCAUGGACUCGACGAAUUAUCUUGAAACUCAGCGAGCCAACUAGGGUUUUCACGAUUCUUGAGUUCUGAAGAAACUCGACGAGUCAGUGGCUGUACUUGACGAGUUGGGUCAACAUGGACUGUUGAUCUUGACCGUUGACUUUAACAUUGACCAAGGGUUAACCGGUUUGAAUUCUGGGGGUAUUUUGGCAAUUUGGGUAUUUAUGGUACUUGGUCAUUGGUGGUUGUAGGUGUUGGUGUUUGGAGCCAUGUUUCGGAAGUUUGAUAUUUCAGUUCUGAUCGACAUUGUGAGGUGAGUUGUCCUCACUAUAAUAAUAAGGUCGAAAGCACCAUUGCCAGCCCUUUUCGAAUUUGUAUCCGGGUUUAUUGCAUGAUGAUAUUCUUAGUGACAUGUUAGGUCAGUAUCUUGGUAUAUAGGAUAAUGCCAUGUUAGUGACCUAUUAGGUCGGUAUCCUGGUAUAUAGGUGAUGAGUUAUGAAAAUUCUAACACCCCUAAGUGUACAUGCAACCCUAGAAAACCUUGGAUCUAUGUUUGUCUAAAAAUACAUGCAAAAUUUGAUUUCCAAGGUUCAUAAUCUUAUCUAGCAUACAUAGGGAACUUUUAACAUAAAAGAUGGCUAGAAUUACAUACCUUGUAGUUGAUUUGAUUCCUUGAAAACCUUGAGAGCCUAGCACCCCAAGUGUGAUGCCUCAAAUGUUUCACACAACACCAAGUGCUUUGGAAUAACUUUGAGAGAAUGUAGAACACUUGCAAAAUCGGCUUGCCUUCUCUAUCUUGCUUCUAGUGCCGAUUUUGGUGAGCUUCAUAUCCUUUUUAUAGUGUGUUACAAUUAGGGUUACACCAUGUAAACCCUAAUGUAACAUGGCUCUUCAUUUCCAUGACCCAUGGGUUUGUAACUCCCAUGUAGCAUCCAUGGAGCAUCCUAUGGACCUUAGCCUAACUUGAUAAUCCAUGGAGCAUCUAGCCCAUUGUACAAGUUAUGGAUGAUUUACAUAAUCAACCCAUAUAUUUAAUUAGUCUUCUUUUGAUCACUUAAUUAAUUCGAAAUUAAUUUUUGAUCAAUACUAAUUAAAUAAUAUUAUUAAUAUAUUAGAACUUAUAAUAUAUUAAUAAACCACAAGUGUUAUUUCUCUCAUUUUAGUUUAUCCAAAUGCAUGAUGCCAUGCAACCCAAAUGGACCUUGCCGGGUCGAGUCAAGUACAUACCAAAUAUAGUUAUGGACUUAGACACCUUAUCCAACAGUCUCCCACUUGGAUAAGUCUAAUAACUAUAACUUCAAGUGUGACUUUAGGAACCGAUCAGCAAUCGUAGCUCUUUCAAGGUCUCUCGGAACUAAGAAGAUGAUGUUACGCCAUUUAAGAUAAGUGAUCAUANAAGAUGAUGAUACACCAUUUAAGAUAAGUGAUCAUAUAAUCCUCUGUUCUAGAUAUCAUCCGGACAAAUACAUGGAACAAUGUCUUACUUAUUGUCCAACAGUUUGUUUCCCGAUUUCCGAUUUGUUUGACAUAGAACUAAAUUGAACACAUCAAUUCGGUUCUGACCGGGCCUGGUACAUAGCUCAAAACAAAAUCAUCGAGAGGCCUAGAUAUCGCUUCUAAUCCAAGAAGGAACAGAUAAACUUUGACUCAUAUGCCUGUUCUACUACUUGUUGAAUCACACACAAAAGCACAUUUUAUAACAUCGAGUUACCAAUGCGGUUUCGUACGAUCAAUGCAUAACCAACUCAUAGGCAACAAGUCAUAUCUCUAGGUUUGAAGACUUAUAUGAUAUUACCAUCUCACGAUCACUCGAGAUAAAUUCCAUGAAGUGAUACCAGUGAGCGUGGGUUGAAUCCAAUACUCAGAACUUAUGAGCACUCAUGAGUAUUGUAGCAAUGUCCAACAACUUAGAACUUUGCAACCAACUCAUGACAGUCUUGAUUCAUACCUAGUUCCAACAUAUGACCGACUGUGGAGAAUUCGAAUAAUAUGAUAUACCAAACAUAAUUAUUCUGGAAGUCAAAACAUGCAAAAGAAAUAUAGUAAACGAUUGACAAAAGAUAGCAACACUUUACUCAUAAAUNUAUUCAUCAUCGAAUGUCAAUUACACUUUAAAAUUUUCAAAAUUAUCUAACUACUAAAACUAAUAUCAUCCUUCAGCCCUAUGCUCCGAGCAUGCUGGAGAUGCUUAACCCGACUCAUUCCCUUCGUGAGGGGAUCUGCUGGGUUCUCAUAUGAUGGUACCCUCUCUGCCACGAGGAGUCCUUCUUCUAUUCGAUGUUUGAUGAAAUGGUAUUUUCUGUCGAUGUAUCUAGAUCUCCCAUGAUCCCUUGGUUCCUUGGCUCAGGAUACUGCACUUUCACUAUCACAGAAAAUUUCCAUUGCCUCUUUUAUAGCUGGUACAACUCCAUGGUCUCCAAUGAAGUUCUUCAGCCAUAUCGCCUCUUUUGCUGCCUCGCUUACUGCUAUAUACUCUGAUUCGCAAGUUGAAUCAGCCAGUGUCUACUGCUUGGAACUUUUCCAAGUAAUUGCUCUUCCGUUUAAGGUAAAGACCCAGCCUGACUAAGAGCGGAAAUUAUCCCUAUCAGUCUGAAAGCUAGCAUCACUAUACCCUACAACUCUCAAGUCAUCACUCCCACCGAGGGUAAGGACCCAGUCCUUAGUCCUCCGCAGGUACUUGAGGAUAUUCUUUACCGCAGUCUAGUGAGCCUUGCCAGGGUUCCCCUGAUAUCUGUUGACCAUGCUCAAGGAAAAAUCCACAUCAGGACGAGUGCAGGUCAUAACAUACAUGAUCGAGCCUAUUGCAGAAGAAUAAGGUACUCGACUCAUUUCUACUAUCUUAGCCUCAGUACUCGAGCUCUGAGUUUUACUCAGUUUGGCGUUACUCUGAACGGGUAACUCACCUUUCUUGGAAUCUUGCAUGAUGAACCUUUUCAGCACCUUAUCCAAGUAGAUACUUUGACUAAGUCCAAUUAGUCUUUUACUCCGGUCUCUCAGAAUCCUUAUCUCUAGAAUAUAGGCAGCUUCUCCUAGGUCUUUCAUAGAGAAACACUUCCCAAGCCAGGACUUCACUUACUGCAAGGUUGGGAUGUCAUUUCCUAUGAGUAGUAUGUCGUCCACAUACAGUACCAAAAAGCUAACUAUGCUCCCACUAGCCUUGACAUAGACACAAGAUUCAUCUUCACUCCUCGAAAAGCCAAACUCUUUGACUUUCUCAUCGAAGCAAAGAUUCCAUCUGCGAGGUGUCUGUUUCGAUCCAUAAAUGGAUUUCUCGAGCUUACACAUUCUAUUAGGGUAUUCUGUACUGACAAAACCCUCUGACUGACACAUUUAAACAUCCUCAGCCAAGCUUCCAUUAAGGAAGGCGGUUUUGACAUCCAUUUUCCAUAUUUCAUAAUCAUGAAAUGCAGCGAUGGCUAACAGAACCCUAAUGGGCUUAAUCUUUGCUACUGGUGAAAAGGUCUCAUCAUAAUCAGCUCCCAGAGUUUAAGAAAAGCCCUUUGCAACCAGCCGCGCCUUAUAUGUGUACAUUACCAUCCAUGUCGGUCUUUUUCUUGAAGAUCCAUUUGCAACCAACUGUCUUACGACCUGGUACAUUGUCAACCAAGUUCCAAACUGGAUUGUCAUACAUGGACUGUAUCUCGCUGUCCAUUCCCUCUUUCCAUUUAGCAGACUCGGGGCCUGUCAUGGCUUCCGCGUAGCUGUUAGGUUCAUCCAGACUUACCAAUGUCUCAUCACUGAUAAGUGUCUCACCUUCCGCAGUAAUAUGGAAACCAUAGUAGUGCUCAGGUGCAUUCCUAACCCUUGUGAACGCCUCAGAGGUACAAACUUGUCAAUUGGCUCAACAAGAGUUUCAUCCUCAGGUUGAGUGCUAGGGAUUGAAGUUCCUCACCACUUGAAUCUUGAAUUUCUUCAAGGACAAUUUUCCUCCCACUGUUUCCUUAGAUUAUGAACUCUCUCUCUCGAAAGACACCCCUCCUUGCUACAAAGACCACAUUGUCACUAGGUCUGUAGAAGAGGUAACCAAAGGAUUUCUGUGUGCAACCGAUGAAAAUACACCUCUCACUUCGAGGUUCGAGCUUAUCAUGAGUCUCGCGUCUCACGAAAGCCUUGCAACCCAAAAUCUUGAUGUGGUCUAGUUUGGGAACUUUACCAGUCCACAUCUCAUGAGGAGUUUUGGCAACUUUCUUUGUAGGGUCCAGAUUAAGGAUAUGGGCGGCAGUCUCUAAGGCAUACCCCCAAAAUGAGAUUGGUAGCGAAGCUUGACACAUCGCGGAACGAACCAUAUCCAACAAGGUUCGAUUGCGCCUCUCAGCCACACCAUUAAGGUGUGGUGUCUUGGGAGGUGUCAAUUGUGAGAUAAUCCCACAUUUCUUAAGAUAGUCAAGGAACUUUGUACUAAGAUACUCACCACCACGAUCGGAUCGAAGCAUCUUAAUGUUCCUGCCUAAUUGAUUCUCGACUUCCUGUUUAAACUCUUUAAACCUUUCAAAAUUCUCUGACUUAUGCUUGAUUAAAUAAACAUAUCUAUAUCUACUAUAAUCAUUAGUAAAAGUCAAAUAAUAUUGAUUAGCAUCCCUUGUGGUAGAUUUGAAGGGUCCACACACAUCUGUGUGUACCAGAUCCAACAAACCUUCACCCCUAGCACAAGAACCAGUGAAGGGUGAUUUUGUUAUUUUUCAAGUAAGCAUGAUUCAAAACUAUCAUCUGACUUUAGGUCAAAUGACUCCAAGACUCCAUCUUUUUGGAGUUGGCCUAUGUGUUUCUUUCUCACAUGUCCAAGACGACAAUGCCAUAAUGAUGCUUUAUGCCAAAGAAAAUGUGACUGGAGAGCUGCUAAGUUUGCAGAUGAAAUCUGGAAAGAACAAGGGUUUGACACUACAUUUGAUGGAACCCUGAUCAACUCAUGGGUAAACCCAACCCGUAGACUUAUGGAUGUUGAUUGCAUUCCUUAUCUCACAUAUGCAGAACCACCAUCAGGAUGGCUAUUGGGAUAUUCUAGUUUCUCCAAAUUCCAAGCAUUUCCCAGUCUUUCAGCCUCUUGAUCUCAGCAUUCCUGAUGACAAAAGACUCCUCAUGGAGUUUGAACAAUUGAAACUCUUCCAUGCAAAACACGGUGGAAAGUUUGAGAACGUCUGGUCCAAUGAUAUAACAGACGGGGUGAAGAACUACAAACUUAGAAAAAUCAUGAAAUGUGAAUUUUUCCAACACACCCUGACCAGAAAAGGAAGUGAGUACAUCAGAAGUCAAGCUGACUUUGUGUGCAUGAAUCCCGAAGAAAUCUUCUUGAUAGCUCAAUUUUUUCAGCUGAAGGCAGAAAAGUACCCGAAGAUGAAAAUUGGCUUUCGAAAGGGCCUGUGAAUUCUUUAAGGCUUUGGUAUGUGAUUUUAGAAAAAUCGAUGCUGAAAUACAUCCUCCCCUUGCUAACAAAUUUGAUUUUCCUCCCUUCGAGCAUGUGUCAUCCAUCACUAAAUGUUUUCAAGAAAUGACCCUUGGUGCUACAAGCUACCCUGAUCUAGGGAUCGUGUACAAAAAUAAUCAAGAUGGUCGAAAAUACUUCAUUUCGGUAACCGUAAUCCACCGCCUAACAAAUAAGCAAUUGGAUGUCACUCUGGCUUCAGUGCAAAGAUCAAAGCACAUAACUGAUGAAAUCAAGUUCGAGAUUACAAGAAGGAUCCAGUGGCUUUUCAAAGUUAGAAAAUUUUCAUGGAUCAUCAUCAAGUUCCUUAAAAUAAAUAAGUGAAGAAAAUAGAUGAGAUGUCACUUUGGGGGAAAUUGUUGAAAAAAAAAGUGACCCUCUUCAGCUAAAAGGAACCGCAGACUUUUGCAUUGAUGAUACCGUAGCGAGAUACUACCAGAGACUAUUUUUGUUCUUUAUGACCCGCAGAGUUGAAGAUGUACCGCAAAGUGGAUUUAUGCAUGAAGAUAGUUUAAGUUACUUUACUGACACCGCUUGUAUUCCGUGUAAUAUCCGGUGAACCAUUCAUGGUCACCGUAGUCAGUCACUUUUAGAUUAUUUUACUCUUUGAUGUAACUUUUGGGACUCUAUAAAUAGAGCUUCCCACUUCAUGUAAUCCUUACCAAUUUAUCAAUUAUCAACAAUCAAUCGAUCAUUGAAUGUUUAUCAAUAUCUGAUUAUUCAUCUCUAUAUCUUAAGUUAUCUUAACUAAUAUGUAACGCCCGCAGAUCCGGGAUAGUCAAUUUAGAGGCAAUAAGUGUCGAAAACGACUUUUCGGCAAAAGAUUAUUUACAAUAAAUAGUCUUAACCAAGUUUUAGAAUAUGUCACAAGAUUUCCGUACAUAUAAAGAAUGCCGAAAUCCGAGUUAUAACGAAGAAGUUAUGGCCCGUCGAAGUUUCGCGAUGGAACCGGCACGACACCGGGAAGCGUAAAUUGUGAAUUUACGAUAGAGCGAGAUUUAGCCUUAGAAAUAUAAACUGAAGUCUUAGAAUAUGUCAAACUAAGAACGUCGAUAAAAAGAACGCCCAAAUCUGACUUCGUAUGAGGAAGUUAUGAUUUUUCGAAGUUUCGGAUUAGCAGUGUACAACCCGAAAUUCGAAUAACAGACCGAG